AAGGGGGAUUGGGAAAGAUGAGGAAGGAGAGCAUUCCAAGCAUGGGGGACGGAGAGCCAGAGAAAAAGCUAGAUCUCAUCAGCCCUAAGACUCACACCUCCUCAGCGUCCCUGGCUCCUGGGGGCCCUCCUUCCCUCUGAUUAGAGAGGGUGGACGUUGGGGAGCCUCUCUCAGAUCCCCCCAUUUAAAGAAGGGGCCCGGGGCAGCCGCCUCAUCAUUGCCCACCUGGCUGGCCUCCCUUGGGCAUCGCCAUCGUCUCCAGAAACUCAUCUUCAGGCUAGAUGAAAUUACUCUGAAACUCACACUUCCUCCCAGUACCUCCUGCCCUUGCGCGCCGCCCCCCCAAUGGAGAAGGUAGAAGACGGACAGUGGGGAGCUCCUCCCAGAUCUUCCAUUUAAGGAAGGGGCCCGGGGCAGCCGCCUCUUCAUUGCCCACCCACUGACAAACCAUUUAAAUGAAGAAUAUCUAUGGCCCAGAUUUCAACAUGUAUCUCUAUGGACACCCUCUAGAGCUUGUCCUGCAGUAUGCGUAUCUGGGACACGAGUACUGAAGGAAAAAGAGCUGAGCCCAGGCUUGACAAGGAGGAGAGUGGGCUGGGUUGUUUUGGGGAAAUUGCAAAGCACUUUUCCUGGCCCCAAACUUCCCAUAGCAACAAGGGGCCAUCUUUACGAAACACGUGAUUUACUGGAAUUGCCAUAUGGCCGAAGAAUAACAGGAAUACGACUCUCUGAAGAACUAAAGGUGAAUCACUCAGAAGCAACUGAAGGUUCGUGGUGGUUGAAAGGUCUAUGGGAUUUUGUCUUAUCCAUAAACAUGUGAGUGUUCCAUGUACUGAUGAAUCAUUGAAGUCCGGUG
Non-coding RNA from Phascolarctos cinereus (koala), 856 nucleotides. The record is from RefSeq and is a predicted model, not a curated record. NCBI's taxonomy places the organism in Eukaryota, Metazoa, Chordata, Mammalia, Diprotodontia, Phascolarctidae.